Gasterosteus aculeatus aculeatus (three-spined stickleback) is the source of this 2523-nucleotide long non-coding RNA. NCBI's taxonomy places the organism in Eukaryota, Metazoa, Chordata, Actinopteri, Perciformes, Gasterosteidae. The record is from Ensembl.
CAGCUCCCUCCAGAUGUGUCUCCGCAUUAAACAACCUCUGCAGGCCCCUGUUGUUCGCGCUGAACCGGGACAGCGUUCUGGUUCCGCACACAAUCCCGAACCGGAAGCUUGAACCGAGAAGUCGCUUCUCCGGGUGAACGCGAACGCCGCGUGACGUAACACAAAAGGUGCGGUCCCCGGCGCGGGCGCGGCGGUCGCGUGACGCAGCAAGGUCACGUGUUCCAGGUGUGGUCCGCGGCCGGUUUUCUCUGUGCGUGUGUAUGUAUGUGUGUGUGUGCGCGCGCGUGAGUCUCAUUUGUUUGGUAGCGCGUCCAGUCACGGAGAGGAUCCCCGAUCAUGUCUUUCGACCUGUCUGCAGCUGUUGGUGGGAGUGAAGAUGUGGUGAAGAAGGAAGAAGCUCAGAAGGAUGAGAUCUCAUGGCCCUGGAACAAGAACAAGGAUAAGGAGGGCAGCAAGGGAAAGUCCGGCAAAGACGACAAAAAGCACGAAUCUGGCAAGGACAAGUCCGACAAGAAGCACGAAUCUGGCAAGGACAAGUCCGACAAGAAGCACGAAUCUGGCAAGGACAAGUCCGACAAGAAGCACGAAUCUGGGAAGGACAAGUCCGACAAGAAGCACGAAUCUGGGAAGGACAAGUCCGACCAAAAGCACAAGUCAAAGGACGGGGAACACAAGAAGAAAAGGGACAAAGGUGAAGGAAACCAAUCUGGCUCUUCCUCAUCGUCGUCCUCCAGCAGUGACGAGGAGUGAUGCUUCCAGCGCCGAUGGUCUCUUCUAACCUCGUCUGUGAAGCAAAGUGACUGUGUGCAGUUGUACCGACGUUCCUUCCUCUUGUUGAUGUAUAAAUAAACCUGAUUGAACGCUGCUUCUCGCCAUAAACUUCCUGUGUUGCUUAAAGUGUGUUUAUUCCACCACAGCGGCGUGAAAAACCCUCACCAAGGUCGCUGUUUGUCGCUGCACGCGUUUAUAAUUGUCCGGAUCGUGUUGAGAUAACCCCCCCAAAAAAUGAGUAGUCUGUCUUUAGAAAAUGUACAUGAAUAAAUCAGUUAAAAAAAAAUGAUUAGAAAGCUACAAAACUUCAGAACAGUCGUCAUGCUGCGGACGACGUUUCAUCUCCACCUGUAGGCGUGUGUUCUGAGCAACGCGUGGAUCCUCAUCCUGCUCCAACGUUUGUCUGUUAAAAGGAACAGGAUGCUGCUGUCAGGCCCGACGGCAUUUUGCCCUCAAGAGAAAAUAAUUAAAGUGGACAUGUUUUUGUUCCAAAGCAAACAUGUUGUAUAAUGUGAACGUUCAGUCCCAGCCUUCUCCAGGGUGGAGUAGGAGUAGCAUUCUACCCCUCAUAACCGUAACACUACACUGGGUGAACGCUCAAGGGGAGCGGCGGUUUGGGGGGCGGGGUUAGGCUUGAAUCACAUGCUUGAGGUGUGGCUAAUCCAGGUACUUAAGUUUGAGUCCGUGUGGUCACUGUGGUUUGUGAACAGGAGACACGAUGGAUCGCGCAGGUAAGCUCAAUUUGACUGAACGUACUUAAGAUCAACACCUUGAAUACGUGUCUUUGUUGACUAAAGUAACACGUUUUACGCCUGGUAAAUCGUCGCAGGCCGCAGGAUUUAACAGCCGUUACUCCCAUUUCAUUACUCGCCAAAGGGGCUUUGGAAUAUAUUUUUAAAUGUACAUUCAUGUGUCAGAAAGUUGUAUCUUAUUUGCAGCCGUUCUCUUUUAUUCUAACCCGGUUUCCCUUUUCAUUCUGACCCGAACAGGUAAAAAGGACAAGGUGAGAGAUUUGCAUGUUUGCUUUAUUAUCUGAGUGAUUAGUGAUUCUGUGACGUCACAAAGCGUCUCUUUGAACGUCCUACCGCUGCAUUAUUACGACCAGUGCACUCGAACCUCUAUCGCUGUGACAACGGCGACACGAUCAAUGAUCCGGUCCACUUUUGCACCCCCUUAGGGAGAGUCCAAGGGGAAGAAGGACGACAAAGCGUCCAAGGAGAAGGGCGGCAAAGACAAAAAGAAGGACGAGGAGAAGAAGAAGAAGAAGGCGAAGCCUGAAGGGAAAGGCUCCGGCUCCUCAUCUUCAGACUCUGACGAGGUAACACACCCCAACCCCCCCAAACCUGAUUUCAAAGGGUGGCAGUAAAGUGUGUCACAACACGCCCUCCUGUGUGUCGUUUUCUUCCGUUGCGUCUGUUGCCACAACGAUUCCACGAGCUGCGACGACCUUUCUGAGUAACAGCGUUGUCCUUUUUGUCGUUUCAGAAGUGAUGUUGAGGCGGGAAGGACAUCUCGUCUCUCGCGAUCACGUCCACAAACAAAAUGAGUCCUGAGUAGCGCCAAAAGUGUCGUGCUUGUGUGAACAGACAUGCUGAUUCUGUCAAAAUAAAGUUCAUUUUCUCACCACAAGAUUGCAGUGUUUUAUUCAUUUUUAAGAUUUAUAAUUGAAGAUCUGGAAGCUGGCUGGGAUCGACUCCCGUCCCCCAGUGUGCAGGAUGGGCCGUUUGACGAUGGAUGAUUGAAGAGUACGAG